UACGUAGGGUCCAAGCGUUAAUCGGAAUUACUGGGCGUAAAGCGUGCGCAGGCGGUUCUGAAAGUCAGCUGUGAAAGCCCCGGGCUUAACCUGGGAAUUGCGGUUGAAACUACAGGGCUAGAAUCUGGCAGAGGGGGGUGGAAUUCCACGUGUAGCAGUGAAAUGCGUAGAGAUGUGGAGGAACACCGAUGGCGAAGGCAGCCCCCUGGGCUGAGAUUGACGCUCAGGCACGAAAGCGUGGGGAGCAAACAGG
RNAcentral lists this ribosomal RNA (253 nucleotides) under uncultured bacterium. RNAcentral's name for it is "partial 16S ribosomal RNA". It matches the Rfam family "Bacterial small subunit ribosomal RNA", at positions 524 to 776 of the family's 1533-position model. The record is from RNAcentral.